This is a non-coding RNA of Fusarium venenatum, 178 nucleotides long. Lineage: Eukaryota; Fungi; Ascomycota; Sordariomycetes; Hypocreales; Nectriaceae. The record is from RefSeq and is a predicted model, not a curated record.
AGAGAGAAGCUGUCGCAUGCGUUUUAGUUCGGGAGAGCUGAUUCGACGUGAAGCGCAGUAGCAGCAGGGGGGCCUUGGCUCAAAUAAAAUCCAUACAUUUCUAGCCAUGAAUGGAUAUCCAUAUAAAAAGGAUAUGGAAGAACCUGAAGUCGUAUUGCGAUCGGAUACGUAACAUCCA